RNAcentral lists this ribosomal RNA (508 nucleotides) under Malajczukia viridigleba. RNAcentral describes it as "partial small subunit ribosomal RNA". It matches the Rfam family "Bacterial small subunit ribosomal RNA", at positions 344 to 928 of the family's 1533-position model. The record is from RNAcentral. Lineage: Eukaryota; Fungi; Basidiomycota; Agaricomycetes; Hysterangiales; Mesophelliaceae.
UCUACCAGCAGUCAAGAAUAUUAGUCAAUGCUCGCAAGAGUGAACUAGCUAACUGGAAUCAUGAGUGUGUCACUUGUGAUUAGUAAGAGGAAAAUAAUGAUAUCACUUUUACAAAUAGUGUUGUCCAAAGCUGGUGCCAGAAGACUCGGUAAGGCCAGAGACGCGAGCGUUAAUCAUCUUGAACAGGCGUAAAGGGUUUGUAGGCAGCUUUAAAAUAAUUAAAGAUUGAAUCAAAUARAGGUCAAGAGAAUUUCUAGAUUAGGGUUGAUAUCUAUAAAAACUAGAAGGAAUUCUAAUUAGCGAAGGCACUUUUCUAUCUAAUGAUUGACGCUGAGAAACGAAGGGGAGGAUAGACAAUAGGAUUAGAUACCCUGGCAUCCCUCUCUGUAAACGAUGAAUGGUAGUUGCUAGUAAUAAUUAUUAGUGGCGAUGCUAACGCGUUAACCAUUCCGCCUUGUGAGUACGAUUGCAAAGUUGAAAACAAAAAAAUUAGUCGGUUUCGGAGCAA